AAAGAACGGAAAAGAAAAAAGAAAACCUAGCGCAGUCGCAUCUUCUCAAUGGACGGAUCCGCCAUCAAAGGUGUGGAAUUGAACGAUAGUGACGUAGGAAUUGGGGGAAGCAGUGCAAUUAUGCAGUAGGAUGUUGAGCAGGAUUUACGUUGAGGGAUACGACACUUCGCUCUCUGGCUACACGAUUUCAUUGAGGCUAUGAGAAAACACUUCGCUUCAUGUGGAGUGGUGAUACAUGUUCAUAUUCCCGGAUACGUUGUGAGCAGCGUCCCCAGUAUUCUCAACAGUUUUGCCUUGGUUUAUCUUCGGGGAGAAGGUGCAGAAGAGAAGGCGUUGAAACUUAGUGGGAGUGACAUGGGAGGACACAAGGUAGUCGCUAAGCCUUACCCGUUUAACGCCACUGACCUUGACCCUGUGCUCUCUCUUACAAGAGACUCAGACAAUAGCCGACAGCACAUGUAACUUGUUUCGUUUUAACUUUUUUUUAAUAUUUUGGAUCUGUAAGAUAUGUUGCUGUCAUGUUAA
Molecule: long non-coding RNA, 525 nt
Organism: Camelina sativa (false flax)
Lineage: Eukaryota; Viridiplantae; Streptophyta; Magnoliopsida; Brassicales; Brassicaceae
Source: RefSeq, a predicted model, not a curated record